CAUUAAGUCUACAUUUUGUAAAGUCUACAUCAGCAAUAUACAAAAAUCGUGGAACACUUGUUCUUAUGGGUUAUGAAGGAGCUUGAUUUUAAAUCACGAAAUAACAAAGAAGAGAACCUAGUUGUUUAUAUACUCGACAAGAACAAUUGUCAAGUAAAUACAAUCCCGUCGUGCGUCGCUUGCUGUUGUUUGGCUGAACAUCUCUUGUCAAUUGGCAUCAUUGUUGCAAUACGGAUGUAAUAAAGACGAGGAACAAUAAAACUAUAUUAUCCAGAUAUUGGAAGUUGACAGGCGCCUCGGAUAAUAACGUGUAAUUCAAAAUUCGACUGGAAAUCCGACGACGAAAACAUCCAUCGACACAACCGACAGGGAGCGAAAGGACGAUUUAACGCUGCGCCCCGCGAUCGCGAAACACCGAAG
This 420-nucleotide long non-coding RNA is filed under the name Neodiprion pinetum (white pine sawfly). RNAcentral's name for it is "uncharacterized LOC124216714". Lineage: Eukaryota; Metazoa; Arthropoda; Insecta; Hymenoptera; Diprionidae. The record is from RNAcentral.